AGUUUGCAUAUCAGGGAUUAUCACAAAGUAGAUAUAUGUGGCCAUUUUAUUUUGGACAUGAGAGCUCUAGCUGAUAUUGUCCUUUUUUCUUCUGUAUAAUAAAUUGUGGAAUACCUGCUUACUCUCCAAGGAAGGAAUCAAGGAACAUAAACUUUUAGUACUCCCUCCGUAAACUAAUAUAAGAGUGUUUAGAUCACUACUUUAGUUAUCUAAACCCUCUUAUAUUAGUUCACAGAGGGAGUACUUGAUAGCAACGUGCAUUUUAUUUGCAUGUUUACUUGAUACAUUCAGUCUCAUGCGGCUUGGUCGAGAUUAUGUGGUGUAACUACAAACAUUCGUCCUAUGUGCUUUCUACAAGUCUGGACAUAACUACUUCACAUCUUCCAAUUAUGCCUUCUCUAGGAGAACAUGGUAGCCCUCCCAGUAUAUCUUAAUUUUUUAGCUGACAAUGUAUAGAUAGUCUUAAUAUCACUUUAAUUGCAGUGUAAUCCUCAAUGUAAGUUAUGUAACACAGUUUCAUUUUUCUAAUGACUUCAGCUGGAAAAUAAAUUACCAAGCUCAAAACCGGGGGAAAUCACUUUAGUACCAAAUAGGAAAACAGAUGAUGGAACUGCUUCUCAAGUCAAAGAUAUCCUAAGGCCACGACACAUAGUUUGUUGAAACAACAAUAGAUUGACUGGAUACUCUCUCGCUUGAGCGAAGAUACCCUUGUGUAAGUGUUAAGUAUGGGGGCCUGCCUGAGGAGAUGGCACUCCGGAGCUCCGCCAGAUCAGGCUGAAGAACUUGGCGCACACGGUCAUGGGGUUACCCUCCAGAAGACACUGCAGGAGAGGAGAGGCCCGUGGGACACGAACUGUCUAUCUGACGAACAGAUUUACCAUGUCUACUUGCAGGUCAACUAAGCUGUUAAUCGGCCACUACUACUACUAGCUAUGCAAUUAAUUGUUAGCCUCAUGAUCCUGACAAUAGUUCUUUCUCCAUGAUUCUUUGCGUGAUUAUUAUUUCACCAA
Long non-coding RNA from Triticum aestivum (bread wheat), 1010 nucleotides. RefSeq lists it as uncharacterized. Lineage: Eukaryota; Viridiplantae; Streptophyta; Magnoliopsida; Poales; Poaceae. The record is from RefSeq and is a predicted model, not a curated record. The transcript is spliced from 2 exons.